CCAGCAGCCGCGGUAAUUCCAGCUCCAGUAAGCAGCGCCAACGUUGUUGCAGUUAAAAAGCUCGUAGUUGGAUUUCUGUUGAGAGGGUUGUGGUGGAAACACUACUGACUUGAUAAUCUCAACUUGUUUGGGAAGGUGUGCCUGAUGUGGCAACACAUUGGGGUUCCCGCGCCUUCUCAUCUUUCACUGUGAAAAAAUUGGAGUGUUCAAAGCAGGCUUUAAGCCUGAACACAUUAGCAUGGAAUGAUAAGAUAUGACGAUGUGUCUAUUUUGUUGGUUGCGUCACGUCGUAAUGAUUAAUAGGGACAGUUGGGGGUAUUCAUAUUCAGUAGUCAGAGGUGAAA
RNAcentral lists this ribosomal RNA (344 nucleotides) under uncultured eukaryote. RNAcentral's name for it is "SSU rRNA". It matches the Rfam family "Eukaryotic small subunit ribosomal RNA", at positions 567 to 916 of the family's 1831-position model. The record is from RNAcentral.